RNAcentral lists this ribosomal RNA (466 nucleotides) under uncultured bacterium. RNAcentral describes it as "partial 16S ribosomal RNA". It matches the Rfam family "Bacterial small subunit ribosomal RNA", at positions 339 to 795 of the family's 1533-position model. The record is from RNAcentral.
CUACGGGCUGCAGCAGUGAGGAAUUUUGCGCAAUGGGGGAAACCCUGACGCAGCAACGCCGCGUGAGUGAAGAAGGCCUUUGGGUCGUAAAGCUCUGUCAACAGGGAAGAAGUUACUGUUUUUAAAUAGAGGAUGGUAUUGACGGUACCUGUGAAGGAAGCAUCGGCUAACUCCGUGCCAGCAGCCGCGGUAAUACGGGGGAUGCAAGCGUGUAUUCGGAAUUAUUGGGCGUAAAGGGCACGCAGGCGGCCUUGUCAGUCAGAUGUGAAAGCCCGGGGCUCAACCCCGGACGUGCAUUUGAAACAGCAAGGCUUGAGUACAGUAGAGGAGAGGGGAAUUCCUGGUGUAGAGGUGAAAUUCGUAGAUAUCAGGGGGAACACCGGUGGCGAAGGCGCCUCUCUGGGCCUGUACUGACGCUGAGGUGCGAAGGCGUGGGUAGCGAACAGGAUUAGAUACCCCCGUAGUC